CCUACGGGUGGCAGCAGUGAGGAAUAUUGGUCAAUGGGCGAGAGCCUGAACCAGCCAAGUCGCGUGAAGGAUGACGGCCCUACGGGUUGUAAACUUCUUUUGUCAGGGCGCAAUUGAGUCCACGUGUGGGCUUAGCGAGAGUACCUGAAGAAAAAGCAUCGGCUAACUCCGUGCCAGCAGCCGCGGUAAUACGGAGGAUGCGAGCGUUAUCCGGAUUUAUUGGGUUUAAAGGGUGCGUAGGCGGAAUAUCAAGUCAGCGGUAAAAUCGCGGGGCUCAACCUCGCUCCGCCGUUGAAACUGGCGUUCUUGAGUGGGCGAGAAGUAUGCGGAAUGCGUGGUGUAGCGGUGAAAUGCAUAGAUAUCACGCAGAACUCCGAUUGCGAAGGCAGCUUACUAAACUGCCACUGACAUUGAUGCUCGAAAGUGUGGGUAUCAAACAGGAUUAGAUACCCGGGUAGUC
RNAcentral lists this ribosomal RNA (460 nucleotides) under uncultured bacterium. RNAcentral describes it as "partial 16S ribosomal RNA". It matches the Rfam family "Bacterial small subunit ribosomal RNA", at positions 338 to 795 of the family's 1533-position model. The record is from RNAcentral.